Molecule: small nuclear RNA, 300 nt
Filed under: Felis catus (domestic cat)
Lineage: Eukaryota; Metazoa; Chordata; Mammalia; Carnivora; Felidae
Description: 7SK RNA
Rfam family: 7SK RNA
About the family: 7SK was discovered as an abundant small nuclear RNA in the mid-70s but a possible function has only recently been suggested. Two independent studies have found that 7SK RNA binds the CDK9/cyclin T complex (known as elongation factor P-TEFb).
Source: Rfam by way of RNAcentral
GGAUGUGAGAGAGAUCGCCACGGUUGAUUUGGCUUAUCUGGCUGGAUAGGUGGGUGUCCCCUUCCUCCCUCACCUUUCCAUGUGCAUCCCUCCUGAAGCUGCGCACUCGGUUGAAUAGGAUGACCUUCCCCAAUAGAGAAAGAAUGUUCUUCACUCAAGGAUCUAUGAGUACCUGUGCUCCCCUGCUAGGACCUCCAAACAAGCUCUCAAAACCCAUUUGUAGGACAACAUAGUGAAGUCAAGCUUCCAAGACUCCAGACAUCCAAAUUAGGCACUGCAUGUGGCAGUCUGCCUUUCUUU